Molecule: long non-coding RNA, 1517 nt
Organism: Cornus florida
Lineage: Eukaryota; Viridiplantae; Streptophyta; Magnoliopsida; Cornales; Cornaceae
Exons: 3
Source: RefSeq, a predicted model, not a curated record
UCCCAUCAUCAACAUCACCAUCAUUUUUAUCAUUUGGUCAACGUGAACCAGAGCCAAUUCGAUUCGUAGCAUUGAGCAAUGGCUUAGUAUUAUGCUCCGCAACUUUGUAUUUUCAGAGUGUUUACUAUGUUGCAAUCCCCUCACAAUGCAUUGGGUUGAUCUUCCAACACCACCCACUUGCCAAGAAAGGGUAAACAAUGGAUUUGUUUGCAAGCUAUCUUAUUCUUUUGAUAGUUCUAGCUGCACAACUAGCUUCAGAGUGGUUCGAAUCCAUGAAUUCGAACCACCACAUUACCCACCACCACGUUCGGCCAAUCUCAAAUUGGAUAUUUUCUCUUCCGACACAUGGGAAUGGACAGAGAGCAUCUUAUCAACCCGGAGGCAUAAUUUUAUCAUGUCUUAUUACAUCUCUAAAGCUGUGGUUUGUGACGGAAUACUCCAUUGGAUGUACCUUUAUCAUUGCCGAAUUUUUGCCGAUGAUCCAUUCAACAACACUGACCAAUUUCAUACCAUAGAACUGCCCAGCCACUUAGGACAACUCUUCCUAGGAGAGUGCCGAGGACACCUCAGGUUUAUUCAAAAUGAGGUUCCCACUCUCAGCAUUUGGGAGCUCAAGGACUACAAUGGGCUCGAAUGGUCCUUGGUGCACAAGGUUGAUCUCGAAAUGAUGGGAUCAGAAGAUGGUUGCCAGAUUCCUAGAAAUGCAGGCUUCUUCUAUGUGUCAAUACUACCUAUUGAUUCUAUUGAUGGAGACAUUAUAUAUCUACAUACUCUUUGUCGCAUUAUACUCUGCAACAUGAGGAACAAAACUUUGAAAGUAAGUACAUUCGCUUGACACCAUUUGUAGAGUGGAUGACUCGAUUGCCUUUCCCUUUGUGCUCAAAUGGUGGCCUACAUCAGUUCCUCAAUUCCAACGGAAUGCACUCGAAACUGAUGGACGAAGCAUCCAAGUGUCGGAACCCAGAAUAAAUAGGCAGGCUGAAAAUGAUCCUCUUAAUCCUCAACAGGAGGCUGCUGCUGAGGAACCUACUCGACACCUACUUGUAGAUGAGGGAGAUUUUAAAAGUCGCGAACUUCAAAUUGGAGAAGAGAAACACUAACACAAUGUCCUCUGGGAUCGCACCAAGUAGUUUAUAAAGAAACAACUCGAGGUCAUAAGGAGGGAACAAGUACACAAGCUCAAGUUCCAUCAUAGACCUUGAUCGAAGCAGAUAUUGAAAUCGGAUGGCUUGAAGACCAGUUGCAUCUGACCGAGAUGAAGAUGACAGAAGAACAACUUUGUGUUAGAAUGGAGAGGAUUCAUAAGGACAUAGUGAAUGUUGAGGAGGUGCCAUACGUCUGAAGGGGGAAUAUGCGACCACGAAGGAGAAUUUUGAUGCUAUGAAGGACGUUGAUGUGAAUCAACUUGGUUCUAGAUAGCUUUAGGUUAUUGUUUGUGAUGUCAAGAUAAUGACUUGAGACUCUGUUUGAUCAAAUGAAAGAACACAAUAUUUGUAUGUUGCUAAUAUUAUAUUGAA